Molecule: ribosomal RNA, 468 nt
Filed under: uncultured bacterium
Lineage: Bacteria
Description: partial 16S ribosomal RNA
Rfam family: Bacterial small subunit ribosomal RNA
Source: RNAcentral
GACGAACGCUGGCGGCGUGCUUAACACAUGCAAGUCGAACGGAAAGGCCCUGCUUUUGUGGGGUGCUCGAGUGGCGAACGGGUGAGUAACACGUGAGUAACCUGCCCUUGACUGUGGGAUAACUUCAGGAAACUGGGGCUAAUACCGGAUAGGAGCUCCUGCUGCAUGGUGGGGGUUGGAAAGUUUCGGCGGUUGGGGAUGGACUCGCGGCUUAUCAGCUUGUUGGUGGGGUAGUGGCUUACCAAGGCUUUGACGGGUAGCCGGGCUGAGAGGGUGACCGGCCACAUUGGGACUGAGAUACGGCACAGACUCCUACGGGAGGCAGCAGUGCGGAAUAGUGCACAAUGGGCGGAAGCCUGAUGCAGCCACGCCGCGUGCGGGAUGACGGCCUUCGGGUUGUAUACCGCUUUCGCCUGUGACGAAGCGUGAGUGACGGUAAUGGGUAAAGAAGCUCCGGCUAACUACGUG